CUUCUCUUUUGCGACGGCAAAAACUGAGGGGUCGCCAUUGUGCAAAAUAUUUGCGACGGUAACAACUGCCGUCGCCACUGGGCGUGGCAAACCCAAUGGUUUACUUCGGCAAGAGUUAGCCGUAGUAAAACUAAAAUACUAAGAGUUUGCGACUGUAAAAGACAUGCGGUCGCGUUUCUUCAAUUCUUCCCGUGGUAUGAAAACCACGACAAUCGCCCUCUGCUCAAAAAGAGAAAAAAACUCUCUCAAAACGGAGGCCGAUCUCUUCGUCUCUCUUGUCCACCCUCUCUCUCCCUCAUCGCAAAUCCCAUCUUCCGCCAAUACUUCUGUCUAAGCUCUUCCUUAUCGGCAAACCAGAUUGGGGAAAUCUUUUGGGGGUAUCGUUCAGAUCUAGAUCCCUUACCUGCAAAAGAGUCAAUUGGGUCGCUUAUCGUAAACGACGACGGUGAGUCGGUUUUCGGGGAGCUCUAGCUGGCUGGAGACCAGAGCUAAGAUGGGUUUCAGUUUAGGAUUCUUGGUCGGAAUCUUUGGAGUUCUAAUUCUCUCUCAUGCCGCUUAAUCAACUGUUUAGUGUAGCAGGAAUAGUGGAUUAAAUUCUGCACAACACCUUUUGGCUGGUGAAACAGGUUGAACGUUUUUGAUACAUAGUUUAAGGAAAGCGGGGGUCAAUUUGCACAAGAACAUAUUGCCCCCACAUGAAAACUCAUGGGAGAGUUUAAUCGAUCUUCAUGGAAUUAUUGCCCCAGUCAAUCUCUUGCUGCAAAUGGAAGCAAACCACGAGGUCCCAUCAAGUCUUGUCCUUUCCUGUCCUUUUAGCCUUAAUCAUGGUGAAGAAAGAGCAGCAAGACGGAAAGAGUUCUUUGAGAGGCUGGAAGAAAAGAAAAGUGGAGAGGCAGAAAGUAAGCAGCUGCAAAUGAGAGAUCUAACAGGAUGACAAAUUUACAACAGAAGUUCUCAUAGGUCAACCAAUAUGGUGAUGCGAAAUCAACAUAAUUGACAUUACUUGCCAUUCAACAAAUCAACUCAAGCAUUAUGAUUUUCAUUCUGAUGAUGAUGCGAAAUGUUAUAUUCUAUUUAAUUGCAUCACUCUCAACUUUUAAGCAGAUGCUUAAAGGAGAUCCACCACUUUCAAAUUACGAGCCUCAUGAAACAGCCAAAUUUGUUGCAAAAGGACACACCCCUGAACUGAAAAAUGUAGGACCUAUUGCUAUAGAGAGAAGAAGAGUGGUGGAGGAGGAGAUAGACACAAAGAAGAACAUAGCUAUCAAUGAAUGAAUGAAGCAAAGAAGAAUACCAAUGCGGUUGAACUUAUGCGCUUGAAUUCUGAUUAUGUAGGUCAUGAUACUUAGCCUACUGAGCGUCAGCAUUAUGUAUUUUAAUUUUUGAAUGUUUUUGUAUUUUCAAGAUUGGUGAAGUUGUAUGAAAUGUAUAGAAAUAA
Molecule: long non-coding RNA, 1438 nt
Organism: Rosa rugosa (rugosa rose)
Lineage: Eukaryota; Viridiplantae; Streptophyta; Magnoliopsida; Rosales; Rosaceae
Exons: 7
Source: RefSeq, a predicted model, not a curated record